Molecule: ribosomal RNA, 477 nt
Filed under: uncultured bacterium
Lineage: Bacteria
Description: partial 16S ribosomal RNA
Rfam family: Bacterial small subunit ribosomal RNA
Source: RNAcentral
GAUUAACGCUGGCGGCGUGCAUAACACAUGCAAGUCGAACGAUGAAACUUAGUAGACUUCUUCGGAAAGACACUAAGCGGAUUAGUGGCGAACGGGUGAGUAACGCGUGAGUAACCUGCCUUACACAAGGGGAUAGCCCUUGGAAACGAAGAAUAAUACCCUAUAAAACUAUAAAAGCACAUGCUAGAAUGGUCAAAGUGCUAGCGGUGUAAGAUGGACUUGCGUCUGAUUAGCUAGUUGGUGAGAUAAAAGCUCACCAAGGCAACGAUCAGUAGCCGGCUUGAGAGAGUGUACGGCCACAUUGGGACUGAGACACGGCCCAGACUCCUACGGGAGGCAGCAGUGGGGAAUUUUGCACAAUGGGGGAAACCCUGAUGCAGCGACGCCGCGUGAUUUAGAAGGCCUUCGGGUUGUAAAAAUCUUUUGUAUAGGAAGAAAAUGACAGUACUAUACGAAUAAGGUCCGGCUAAUUACGUG